GCCACGGCUAACUAUGUGCCAGCAGCCGCGGUAAUACAUAGGUGGCAAGCGUUAUCCGGAUUUACUUGGCGUAAAGCGUGCGCAGACGGUUUAACAAGUUUGGGGUCAAAUCCUGGAGCUUAACUCCAGUUCGCCUUGAAAACUGUUAAGCUAGAGUGUAGGAGAGGUCGAUGGAAUUCCAUGUGUAGCGGUGAAAUGCGUAGAUAUAUGGAGGAACACCAGUGGCGAAGGCGGUCGACUGGCCUAUCACUGACGUUUAGGCACGAAAGCGUAGGGAGCAAAUAGGAUUAGAUACCCUAUUAUUCUACGCCGUAAACGAUGAGUACUAAGUGUCGGACUAAGUUCGGUGCUGCAGCUAACGCAUUAAGUACUCCGCCUGAGUAGUAUGCUCGCAAGAGUGAAACUCAAAGG
This 411-nucleotide ribosomal RNA is filed under the name uncultured bacterium. Its description in RNAcentral is "bacterial SSU rRNA". It matches the Rfam family "Bacterial small subunit ribosomal RNA", at positions 490 to 907 of the family's 1533-position model. The record is from RNAcentral.